Molecule: ribosomal RNA, 560 nt
Filed under: uncultured bacterium
Lineage: Bacteria
Description: bacterial SSU rRNA
Rfam family: Bacterial small subunit ribosomal RNA
Source: RNAcentral
AGGAAUCUGCCUAUUAGUGGGGGACAACAUCUCGAAAGGGAUGCUAAUACCGCAUACGUCCUACGGGAGAAAGCAGGGGACCUUCGGGCCUUGCGCUAAUAGAUGAGCCUAAGUCGGAUUAGCUAGUUGGUGGGGUAAAGGCCUACCAAGGCGACGAUCUGUAGCGGGUCUGAGAGGAUGAUCCACCACACUGGGACUGAGACACGGCCCAGACUCCUACGGGAGGCAGCAGUGGGGAAUAUUGGACAAUGGGGGGAACCCUGAUCCAACCAUGCCGCGUGUGUGAAGAAGGCCUUUUGGUUGUAAAGCACUUUAAGCGAGGAGGAGGCUACCGAGAUUAAUACUCUUGGAUAGUGGACGUUACUCGCAGAAUAAGCACCGGCUAACUCUGUGCCAGCAGCCGCGGUAAUACAGAGGGUGCAAGCGUUAAUCGGAUUUACUGGGCGUAAAGCGCGCGUAGGUGGCCAAUUAAGUCAAAUGUGAAAUCCCCGAGCUUAACUUGGGAAUUGCAUUCGAUACUGGUUGGCUAGAGUAUGGGAGAGGAUGGUAGAAUUCCAGGU